This 307-nucleotide ribosomal RNA is filed under the name Engraulis encrasicolus (European anchovy). Its description in RNAcentral is "eukaryotic LSU rRNA". It matches the Rfam family "Eukaryotic large subunit ribosomal RNA", at positions 52 to 352 of the family's 3401-position model. The record is from RNAcentral. Lineage: Eukaryota; Metazoa; Chordata; Actinopteri; Clupeiformes; Engraulidae.
GGAGGAAAAGAAACUAACCAGGAUUCCCCUAGUAGCUGCGAGCGAAGAGGGAAAAGCCCAGCGCUGAAUCNCCCGUCCUCCUCGGGCGCGGGAAAUGUAGCGUACGGAAGUGCGAGUUCUCCCGGCGCGGUGCCGGGCCUGAGUCCUUCUGAUGGAGGCUCAGCCCAGGGACGGUGGCAGGCCGGUAACCCCGCCCCGCCGGUUCCGCUCUUCCCGGAGUCGGGUUGCUUGGGAAUGCAGCCCAAAGCGGGUGGUAAACUCCAUCUAAGGCUAAAUACCGGCACGAGACCGAUAGUCGACAAGUACC